Long non-coding RNA from Homo sapiens (human), 254 nucleotides. RefSeq lists it as uncharacterized. The record is from RefSeq and is a predicted model, not a curated record. Lineage: Eukaryota; Metazoa; Chordata; Mammalia; Primates; Hominidae. The transcript has 3 exons.
CUCUUUCUCCUGUUUGGCCGUGUACCAAGUUCCUGCCUGUCUUCUGUCUUCACCCGUGACUUGCCUCAAGUAGUUGGCUCCUUUCCCACCGGCUACUUUGUAACUGCGAAUAUGACAACAUGACGGUGAUUCACAGAUGCCAAAAUAUGACGAGCAGAGCAAAUCUGUGUUCCAGAUAUGAUAAGGUCCCAUCUUCUUAGGAAGUUUUAAACAACUGUCAAAAGUAUGCACAAUCAAAAUCAAGAAUCAAAUCU